AUUGAUGCAGCGGAUUACAACCCAAGAAGUUAGUUUCUCUCUCUGUAACGAACUUUGAAGAACAGGGGCUUGCUCUUCCCCCGGUUUCGUCGCCGGAAAAGCCUCCGAUCCGACUUCCACGAUUGGCAACUGAUUGAAACUAAGCCAUUAUCUGCAUUGUCACAGCAUUUAUUCGAAUAUCCAGAAACUUCAUUCAACUACUUGAAAAGGCUGGGGCCAAGGAGGAAACGAGUUAGAAGUCUGUAAGUGAUGGCCGCGGUCCAUGGCUGAUUCUUCCAACUCUUCUCAUAUGCCUCCUUGCCACUGGAGCUGUCACUGAUACAAGUAUCGGACAUGCAACUGUGGAACAGCUAUUGCUAUGCCUUCUUUACUUGGCAUGUGUCUGCACCUGCACGAGUACACCCCUGAUGAGGAGGCUGAGUGUAAGCUUUAUACUUAUACUUUCAUAAGGUUAUCGACGAAUAUUAUCUGCCGGUUUUCUUUGGAUUUUUGUGUUGAAGAAGAUGAAUUUAUAGUAGUUCUUGUUUUAGUCUUUGGUUUAAGAAACAGUGUGAACAAUUGGUUUCUGAUGGGACCUUUACCAGCCCUCAACCAGCAUACUUAAUUUUGUUUCUACAGUACCUUCUAAAAAAAACUAUUCGAGCUUUUUUGAUGCAUAGUACGAUUGCUAGUUAGGCAACUUCCCUGCCUAUCUUUCUG
Long non-coding RNA from Argentina anserina (silverweed cinquefoil), 699 nucleotides. RefSeq lists it as uncharacterized. The record is from RefSeq and is a predicted model, not a curated record. NCBI's taxonomy places the organism in Eukaryota, Viridiplantae, Streptophyta, Magnoliopsida, Rosales, Rosaceae. The transcript is spliced from 3 exons.